GGCUCCUCGUGGCCAAGCUCCACGUAUAUAUGCAAGGGCUAUUUGUUUGGUUGCAUGAGUUACUCCAACCAGAUUGCAAGAAUAGGUCCGUGUUUGGUUUGGGUGGCUUGAGAUAGCUUGGGUUGUUAUGAUUUUGUUUGGUUGCCUGUACAAUGUGAUAUGAUGACCAUGCAUUUGUUAGGGUGAAGUUACCACCCAUCAUCUAUCUCUUUCUCUUCUCCGUGCACAUGUGUUUUCCCCACUCACCAACAGAGAGUCAUGCUCAUGCGCGAUUCCCUCGAUCAAUGCAGCGAUUCCAUCAAUCCUGAAGCGAGACCUUCAGUUGCAACCUCGCUCGUGGAGCUUGUGGUGGCGAUGGAUCAGCACUCGUCGUAGCAGCAAGAAGGCAGCGGCGCCACAACUUCCAUCUGGUGCCCCUCCUCCCCAUCCUCCGCGGCGAUGGUCAGCAGUAAGAAGGCGGCGGGCGCGGACCCCGUGGGCCGUUGCGUCGAGGCUCUCGACCUCCAUGGCUGCGGCAGAGGACUUGCUCUCUCUCUCGCUGUCCUCCGCGGCGACGGCGGCAGCAAGCCAGCAACAAGAAGAUGGCGGCGCCACAUCCUCCAGCCGGUGCCUCUCGUCUCCUUCCUCGGCGGCGACGCCGGCAGCAGGCCAGCAGCAAGAAGGCGGCGAGCGCGGACGCCGUGAGCUGCUGCGUCGAGGCGGUGCGUGUCCCGGCGGUGAAUCGAUUCGUUCACCUUGGCUAGCGAUAGCUUGUGCAGACUGCAUAAGAGAUAAACGAGAUUUAAUCUCGUUUCCAGCUAUGCAGGAUGAAAAGUGUUUUUGUAUAGCAUAAGUCUAGCUAACACCCUUACUCAGGCAAUCAAACAUGUAUGAACUGCACUACAUAAGCCUGGAUAGGGUGUAAUGCACCCAACCAAUCACCCCCUAUCUAACUUGCAGCUUGCUCAAGUAGUACUACCUAUAUAUACUGUACCUGCGUCGUAUACUUUAUCAAA
Long non-coding RNA from Panicum virgatum (switchgrass), 995 nucleotides. RefSeq lists it as uncharacterized. The record is from RefSeq and is a predicted model, not a curated record. The transcript is spliced from 2 exons. NCBI's taxonomy places the organism in Eukaryota, Viridiplantae, Streptophyta, Magnoliopsida, Poales, Poaceae.